This is a non-coding RNA of Xyrichtys novacula (pearly razorfish), 5060 nucleotides long. The record is from the annotation of a GenBank genome assembly. Lineage: Eukaryota; Metazoa; Chordata; Actinopteri; Labriformes; Labridae.
UGGGACGGUACGAACAAGACGGGCGGGUAUGGGACGCCCUCCUCACUCCAGCGGAAAACGGAAAGAUUCAUCGCCAUAGCAACAUAAAGAUGUGUCCUGUGCAAGGCACUGUUUAUUUUUGUAGUAAACGGACAUCACGUUCAGUUCUACCUUGUUUCUUCAUCCUCCCAGUAAAAUCAUAAAUCCAGUAACCAUCACAGUGACAGGAGCUAAAUAAGCUUCUGAUUGUCAGUGAUUCCACACGUCUUUGAACCCCUUCACUAUUGGACAUGUGCCUGACCAAUCAAAACAAAUGUCAACACAGAGGAAGAUUUCCGAGUUUCAUUUGAUCUUUCCAAACCACGUCUUUGUGAUUCUUUUCUGUCAGUUAGACAAAGGUGGACACAUACGCAACUUGUAGGAUAUGAUAUGAUAUGAUAUAGGGGUAUGUGCCACUUUUGACAUGCCGGUUCAUUGCCUUUCCCAUUGAUGAACCGGGCUGAGAUUUGGUCUACCCCCCCAUUUUCGGGUAUGCUGAAUCUAGAAAUACUAAUGAACCAGCGAUUGGACAUUCCUAUCAAAAGUUAUGGCGAAAUGGAAAUUUCCCAUUGAAAAUGAAUGGGAGCGGAAAAUGGCCAAAGUCAGUGUUUCCAAGUGUUCUACUUUGUCUGGAAAUGUUGAAAAUGGGUUGUGAGCACUUUUAAGGCCAUUUCCUGUCGUUUGAGGGUUAGCCUCUCGGAGUGCUCCUGUGUUAGGGUUAGGAUUGGGGAAUGACUCCCGUCUCCCUCUAAGUUAUGACCCUGCUUGGGUCUUCAAGGAGUGGGGCGUGCACGGGUCUUCGCCCCACCGGACACACUCCCCCGAUCCCACUAAGAACACUACUUGUGUUUAAUAAAUAUUGUUUUUAAGUUGGCUUUAAUGGGUUGAGUUAUUGUUUUUAAAUAUCUUACAUUUUUUUAACUGUUUUUUACACACAAACACACAAUACAUGAACUACACAUGAACUAUGUACAAACAAUGUGUGCAUCAUCGACAACGUUUCGACCCGACUUGGGUCUUCUUCAGGUCUGUGCACACAUAAGAAAGGGCUGCUGGGCACCAAUUCUUCGGUGUUGACAGCAGCUAAAAAAAGAAGAAAUGUCCCUGUUCCCUUCUCACCUUUUAUACCUUUUAACAAAUAAUUAACUGAAUUUCUCGGAUAUUUUAUGUUAUUUUCUACUCUAUUUAAUUUGAAAAUGUUAACCCUUUAACUGCUGAUUCUUAUUAAUCCAAAAUAAUAUAUUUAUGUUUAACCUGAGGUUAGGCUUAAGGCAGCAUUUCUCAAAGUGUGUGGCCCGCCCCCCCAGGGGGGCGCGGAGCCAUCUUUAAGAAGCUAACAAGUGGAGGGGAUGCAGGGGGUGCAUCUACGGCAGGGGGUGCAUUCUACGGCAUAACACCUGUUAAGUAUGCUGCUAUCCCCACCUGUACAAUGUCCUCCUGAAAGUGUACAAAGACGCUUUCUGCUGUGCUAAUUCAUGGUGGGAAGUAGCUCAGAAACCAGGGCGGAGAUAACCACCAUGCCGUGCUAUGCCUCUCACAUUUUUAAAAGUGGUUACCGUAACUUUAACCCUUAGACAGAAACCAGGGUCAUUUCUCUAAAAAAUUUAAAUUCAAAAUUAAAGAUUGGAAUCUUUUAUAAACGUAUUAUUUGAAGAUAAUAUCUCCAAGCUCGUAAUUUGGAAUCUUUCUUACAACUAACAUUUGAAUUGUAUGCCCCAAAAUCAAAAAUUGAUCCAACCCCAACCCUACGUUUCAACCUAAUCUAAACCCUAGGUCUAGCCUUUACCCUGUGUCUAACCCUAACUCUAGUUCUUACCCCAACAGUAGGUCUAACCCUUACCCUAACCCUAACAAAAGUUAUAGCCCUAAUCCGAACCCUGGGUUUAACCCUAACCCUAGGUCUAACCCUGACAAUAACAUUAUGUCUAACCCUAACUGUAUGUUUAACCCUAGUCCUAGGUUAUAACCCUAACUCUAAUCUUAGCCCUAACUUUUAUUUAGCCCUAGGUGUAACCCUAACCCAGCUCUAAUAUUAACCAUAACCCUAACCCUAACCGUAGUGUUUGAAACUACUAUCUAAGGUUGUUAUUGAAAAUAUGUUUAACCACUGACAUUUAAAAUUUCAGACCCAAAGUCUGAAGUUCUAAAACUAUCUGACACUCACACUAGUCUUAAAAAACCCCUAGGGUUAGGGUUAGGGUUAGGGUUAGGGGUUAGGGUUAGGGUUAGGGUUAGGGUUUAGGGUUAGGGUUAGGGUUAGGGGUUAGGGUUAGGGUUUAGGGUUAGGGUUAGGGUUAGGGGUUAGGGUUAGGGUUAGGGGUUAGGGUUAGGAUUACGGGAAAAGGGGGACUGUCUCCUAGGAUAGGAGACAGGAGGUGCACGGUCCAUCCCCCUGUUCCCCGUCCCCCACGACCCCGUUUGGUACUGCUGAUUAUUAGUGCGGUACGGGCGUCGACCACGCCUCCCGUACCGCACUUCAGUCCAUUGUUCAUGCUCGUAAGUCAUGAUUGUUUUUUAAUCUUUUUAAUUAUUUAUUACUAUUUAUUAAUGUGGUGUAAUUACUAAACUAUUUAUUUAUUGGUGUAUCUAUCUAUGCAAUUUAUUUAUUUAUUGAAAUGAAGGUAUUUAAAACCAAAACAGUAUAACAAUACAAAUGAAUUGUUCUUAUUUUUUUAUGCUUUUUUGUUUUUUUUGUGUAAUAAAAAUGAAAUAAAAUGAAAUAAAAGUGAAAAAACUAAAUAAAUUGUGUAUGAAAAUGAAGAAUCGAGGAAUAAGUGAUGAAAAAAGUGCCCAGUCGCGACGUUUCGACCGCUGUGGGUCUUCUUCAGGCUAUGGGCACAAAAUAAAAUAUGUCUGGGCUUGUUUGAGUCUGUUGGUGAGAUGCUUUCUCUUCAGGAGACAUAUGAGAAGUGAAGAAACUGAGCUCUGUGUGCGUGUGUUAUUUAUAGGGGCGUGGGAGAGGGCAGAGCCAGACGGGGGCCCCCGGCCGUCUGGAUACCGUCUGGGUGCAGUUAACCCCAUAAAUGCCAACUAGAAUUAAAUGACCUAAAUGUUAAUGCCUAAUUAGAACUUUUUACCCUCUUUUUAAGUGAUUAAACUUUAUGAAUUGUAAUUGUAAUGGCCAAUUUAGAAAUUUCUACCCUGUUUUAGCUGAUUAAUUGUAAUUUUAAGGCCCAAUUUAGAAUGUUUUCCCCUCUUUUUAACAGAUUAAUUGAAAAUGAAUUGUAAUUUAAUGCCCCAUUGAAACUUUAGUCUUUUAGAUCCAUAAUUGCCAAUUAGUAUUUUGAUGAAGUUGAAUUUUAAAGAUAGUUGUAGUGUUUUUAGCCCUUAAUCCUUUUUAAAUGUUAGAUAAGAUAUGCAUUUUUAAUAUUUACGGUUUAAAUGUCAAAUCAUGAAUAUUUUUAGCGUAUUAUGAAGUUUAAUAAUUAAUAAUGAAUUAAAAAUAAUUAGUACAAAUACAUUAUUAGUUUUUAAAGGUUAGGGUUAGGGGUCGGGGCUAGGGUUAGAGAGGUUAGGGUUAGGGUUAGGGUUAGGGGUUAGGGUUAGGGUUAGGGGUUAGGGUUUAGGGUUAGGGUUAGGGUUAGGGUUAGGGGUUAGGGUUAGGGUUAGGGGUUAGGGUUAGGGUUAGGGUUAGGGGUUAGGUUUGGGGAAUGAAUCCCGUCUCCCAUAGGGAGCGGGGAAUGCACGGGCCUUCCCUCGACCGGACACGUUCCCCCGGUCCCGGAAUGGCUGGCGGAAGCGCUGGCCUUUACGGCCAAAGCGGACCUCCGUCCAGCCGUCAAAGCCACUCCUGCGUGGAGUGGCCAUCAUACUUUGUUUUAAGAUUUGUAUAUAUUUAAAUUAAAAUUGUGAUUUUAUCCCACAGAAAUAAAUGAAAUUAAACUCUUUCUUAAACAAAAUUGUGAUUUCCUUGUUGUUUUUUAUAAAGAUUUUACUUAAAUGAGAUUAUGAUUGUUUUUAUAGAGAUGCUGUUUGUAAUACAAAAUAAAAUAACUAUUUUUAAACCCUUUCUUAAAAUAAAAUGUUGAUUUUGUUCUUAUUUGAACUUGUUAAUUAACUAAAACUGUGAUUAAAUACCCUCAAAAUAAACUAUAACUGUUUUUACAUUUUUUUGUAUUUUUUUUAUUUUUUUGUAUUUUUUUGUUUUUUAAUUUUUUUAGAAUGUUUUUAUUUGUUUUUCACAAUGAUAACUAUUCUUAGCCUUCCUAUUGUGUGCCUAUGAUGCUACGUUUCGACCUGUGUUGGUCUUCCUCAGGCCAAGGCACACACAAAAUAAAGCAAACAGUGGUUUAAAUGCAGUAGGUCUUUACUUGGUGGCUGUCAGAGUGAAAAUGAAUUUUCCUCCUCUGCUCUGCCUUUUAUACUCUCCCAGAGAAAAAUACCAUGAAUUUCCUUAUUUUUUAACUAAAUUAUAAACCCUUUUUCUAUUUACUCUUUUAACCCUUUAGCACCCUUGUAGAGAAUUUACCAUGUAAUAUAUGCUCUUAUUUAUUUAUUUAUUUAUUUAUUUAUUUAUUUAUUAACCCCCUAAGGUUAGGGUUAGGGUUAGACCUAGGGUUAGGGUUAGGGUUAGGGUUAGGGCUAGGGUUAGGGUUAGGGUUAGGGUUAGAGCCCAGGUUAGGGUUAGGGUUAGGGGUUAGGGUUAGGGUUAGGGUUAGGAUAUAGGGAUAUGUGCCACUUUUGACAUGCCGGUUCAUUGCCUUUCCCAUCGAUGAACCGGGCUGAGAUUUGGUCUACCCCCCCAUUUUCGGGUAUGCUGAAUCUAGAAAUACUAAUGAACCAGCGAUUGGACAUUCCUAUCAAAAGUUAUGGCGAAAUGGAAAUUUCCCAUUGAAAAUGAAUGGGAGCGGAAAAUGGCCAAAGUCAGUGUUUCCAAGUGUUCUACUUUGUCUGGAAAUGUUGAAAAUGGGUUGUGAGCACUUUUAAGGCCAUUUCCUGUCGUUUGAGGGUUAGCCUCUCGGAGUGCUCCUGUGUUAGGGUUAGGAUUGGGGAAUGACUCCCGUCUCCCUCUAAGUUAUGACCCUGCUUGGGUCUUCAAGGAG